RNAcentral lists this ribosomal RNA (497 nucleotides) under uncultured bacterium. RNAcentral's name for it is "partial 16S ribosomal RNA". It matches the Rfam family "Bacterial small subunit ribosomal RNA", at positions 28 to 507 of the family's 1533-position model. The record is from RNAcentral.
GACGAACGCUGGCGGCGUGCCUAAUACAUGCAAGUAGAACGCUGAAGAGAGGAGCUUGCUCUUCUUGGAUGAGUUGCGAACGGGUGAGUAACGCGUAGGUAACCUGCCUUGUAGCGGGGGAUAACUAUUGGAAACGAUAGCUAAUACCGCAUAACAAUGGAUGACACAUGUCAUUUAUUUGAAAGGGGCAAUUGCUCCACUACAAGAUGGACCUGCGUUGUAUUAGCUAGUAGGUGAGGUAACGGCUCACCUAGGCGACGAUACAUAGCCGACCUGAGAGGGUGAUCGGCCACACUGGGACUGAGACACGGCCCAGACUCCUACGGGAGGCAGCAGUAGGGAAUCUUCGGCAAUGGGGGCAACCCUGACCGAGCAACGCCGCGUGAGUGAAGAAGGUUUUCGGAUCGUAGAGCUCUGUUGUAAGUCAAGAACGAGUGUGAGAGUGGAAAGUUCACACUGUGACGGUAGCUUACCAGAAAGGGACGGCUAACUACGUG